AUGAGGAUGAAGAUGAAAUUGGUGUAACUGUAAGAUGCUCAAAGGAAGGAAGUAGUAAUGUUCAAAAUAUCAGAAAAAGGCCAAGGACAAAGGGUCUUAUGAAUUUUAUAUUUUGCCCAAAAUGCUGAAAAAGUGGUGCAAAAUAGAAAAAAUUCAAAAAUGAAGCAAACCACUAUUAAUGAAGCAUGUAAAAAGGAAUUGAGAAAAAAAGCAUGUAAGGAUAUAG
Molecule: unclassified non-coding RNA, 226 nt
Filed under: Hevea brasiliensis (rubber tree)
Lineage: Eukaryota; Viridiplantae; Streptophyta; Magnoliopsida; Malpighiales; Euphorbiaceae
Source: RNAcentral